Schizosaccharomyces pombe (fission yeast) is the source of this 298-nucleotide non-coding RNA. The record is from the annotation of a GenBank genome assembly. NCBI's taxonomy places the organism in Eukaryota, Fungi, Ascomycota, Schizosaccharomycetes, Schizosaccharomycetales, Schizosaccharomycetaceae.
GCUGGGAAUAGCUUUGUAUCAUACGUUCACGUUUCUCGUAUGAUAAGAUCGACCAAUUCUUGAAUAUUAAAAGGAAUAACAUUGCUAACGUUAUAUUUUCGGCUAACAUUUAUCUUGCGUUUUAUUCUUUUGCAAAUAAUAUACAAAUACAAACGGUGGACAAGUGAACAAUUCGCUUCUCAAUCGUACUUUGUUUCAAAUAGAAAUUCAUAACUGUUUUCUAAAAAUUAAUUAUUUGGCUAUGCUGACUGCACUCGUGUAUUACUUAUACUUAAGAAAUUAAUAAACCCAUAAAUAU